AGAGUUUGAUCCUGGCUCAGAACGAACGCUGGCGGCAUGCCUAAUACAUGCAAGUCGAACGAGAUCUUCGGAUCUAGUGGCGCACGGGUGCGUAACGCGUGGGAAUCUGCCCUUGGGUUCGGAAUAACUUCUGGAAACGGAAGCUAAUACCGGAUGAUGACGUAAGUCCAAAGAUUUAUCGCCCAAGGAUGAGCCCGCGUAGGAUUAGCUAGUUGGUGGGGUAAAGGCUCACCAAGGCGACGAUCAGUAGCGGGUCUGAGAGGAUGAUCCGCCACACUGGAACUGAGACACGGUCCAGACUCCUACGGGAGGCAGCAGUGGGGAAUUUUGGACAAUGGGCGCAAGCCUGAUCCAGCCAUUCCGCGUGAGUGAAGAAGGCCUUCGGGUUGUAAAGCUCUUUCGGCAGGAACGAAACGGUGCGCACUAACAUUGCGUACUAAUGACGGUACCUGAAGAAGAAGCACCGGCUAACUACGUGCCAGCAGCCGCGGUAAUACGUAGGGUGCGAGCGUUAAUCGGAAUUACUGGGCGUAAAGCGUGCGCAGGCGGCUUUUUAAGCCAGAUGUGAAAUCCCCGGGCUUAACCUGGGAACUGCAUUUGGAACUGGAAGGCUAGAGUGCGGCAGAGGGGGGUAGAAUUCCACGUGUAGCAGUGAAAUGCGUAGAGAUGUGGAGGAAUACCGAUGGCGAAGGCAGCCCCCUGGGUCGACACUGACGCUCAUGCACGAAAGCGUGGGGAGCAAACAGGAUUAGAUACCCUGGUAGUCC
Molecule: ribosomal RNA, 767 nt
Filed under: uncultured bacterium
Lineage: Bacteria
Description: bacterial SSU rRNA
Rfam family: Bacterial small subunit ribosomal RNA
Source: RNAcentral